Molecule: ribosomal RNA, 403 nt
Filed under: uncultured bacterium
Lineage: Bacteria
Description: bacterial SSU rRNA
Rfam family: Bacterial small subunit ribosomal RNA
Source: RNAcentral
UAGGGAAUAUUAGAAAUGGACGAAAGUCUGAUCUGGCAACACCGCGUGUGCGAAGAAGGCCUUUGGGUCGUAAAGCACUUUUUGGAAGGAAUAGGAAGGAAUGUACUUCCAGAAUAAGUCUCGGCUAACUACGUGCCAGCAGCCGCGGUAACACGUAGGAGGCAAACGUUAUCCGGAUUUACUGGGCGUAAAGCGCGUGUAGGUGGUACUGUAAGUAGGGCGUGAAAGCUCCUGGCUCAACUGGGAGAGGCCGUUCUAAACUACAGAACUAGAGGAUGGUAGAGGGAGAUGGAAUUCCAGGUGUAGCGGUGGAAUGCGCAGAUAUCUGGAGGAACACCGGUGGCGAAGGCGGCCUCCUGGACCAUUCCUGACACUCAGACGCGAAAGCUAGGGUAGCAAACGG